This 450-nucleotide ribosomal RNA is filed under the name uncultured bacterium. RNAcentral describes it as "partial 16S ribosomal RNA". It matches the Rfam family "Bacterial small subunit ribosomal RNA", at positions 354 to 796 of the family's 1533-position model. The record is from RNAcentral.
GUGGGGAAUCUUCCACAAUGGACGAAAGUCUGAUGGAGCAACGCCGCGUGAGUGAAGAAGGGUUUCGGCUCGUAAAGCUCUGUUGUCGGGGACGAAUGUGCAGUAUUUGAAUAAAGUACUGUAAUGACGGUACCUGACGAGGAAGCCACGGCUAACUACGUGCCAGCAGCCGCGGUAAUACGUAGGUGGCAAGCGUUGUCCGGAAUUAUUGGGCGUAAAGGGAGCGCAGGCGGGAAGGGAAGUCGGUCUUAAAAGUGCGGGGCUCAACCCCGUGAUGGGAUCGAAACUAUCUUUCUUGAGUGCAGGAGAGGAAAGUGGAAUUCCUAGUGUAGCGGUGAAAUGCGUAGAUAUUAGGAGGAACACCAGUGGCGAAGGCGACUUUCUGGACUGUAACUGACGCUGAGGCUCGAAAGCCAGGGGAGCGAACGGGAUUAGAAACCCUUGUAGUCC